UACGGAGGAUCCGAGCGUUAUCCGGAUUUAUUGGGUUUAAAGGGUGCGCAGGCGGGGGAUUAAGUCGGCGGUGAAAUUUUGCAGCUCAACUGUAAAAGUGCCUUCGAAACUGGUUUCCUUGAGUGUAGAUGAAGUAGGCGGAAUUUGUGGUGUAGCGGUGAAAUGCAUAGAUAUCACGAGGAACUCCGAUUGCGCAGGCAGCUUACUAAACUACUACUGACGCCCAGGCACGAAGGCGUGGGGAUCAAACAGGAUUAGAUACCCUGGUAGUCCCU
This 275-nucleotide ribosomal RNA is filed under the name uncultured prokaryote. RNAcentral's name for it is "partial 16S ribosomal RNA". It matches the Rfam family "Bacterial small subunit ribosomal RNA", at positions 524 to 798 of the family's 1533-position model. The record is from RNAcentral.